Molecule: transfer RNA, 73 nt
Filed under: Xenopus tropicalis (tropical clawed frog)
Lineage: Eukaryota; Metazoa; Chordata; Amphibia; Anura; Pipidae
Description: tRNA-Arg (TCT) (tRNA-Arg-TCT-42-1)
Rfam family: tRNA
About the family: Transfer RNA (tRNA) molecules are approximately 80 nucleotides in length. Their secondary structure includes four short double-helical elements and three loops (D, anti-codon, and T loops).
Source: RNAcentral
GGCUCUGUGGCGCAAUGGAUAGCGCAUUGGACUUCUAAUUCAAAGGUUGUUGGUUCGAAUCCCAUCAGAGUCG